AUACUAUGAUGGUUGCAUAGUUCAGCAGAUCAAAUCAUGAAGAGAUUUACCCUUUGUGUGAUGUAAAA
This 68-nucleotide small nucleolar RNA is filed under the name Prolemur simus (greater bamboo lemur). RNAcentral's name for it is "Small nucleolar RNA SNORD77 (ENSPSMG00000009831.1)". It matches the Rfam family "Small nucleolar RNA SNORD77". From Rfam's summary of the family: U77 belongs to the C/D family of snoRNAs. It is predicted to guide 2'O-ribose methylation of large 28S rRNA subunit at position A1521. The C/D snoRNAs U44, U47, U74, U75, U76, U78, U79, U80 and U81 share the same host gene as U77 (non-coding). The record is from Rfam by way of RNAcentral. Lineage: Eukaryota; Metazoa; Chordata; Mammalia; Primates; Lemuridae.